UACGUAGGGGGCAAGCGUUAUCCGGAUUUACUGGGUGUAAAGGGAGCGUAGACGGCCAGACAAGUCUGAAGUGAAAAUCCAGCGCUUAACGUUGGAAGUGCUUUGGAAACUGCCGGGCUAGAGUGCAGGAGGGGCAGGCGGAAUUCCUAGUGUAGCGGUGAAAUGCGUAGAUAUUAGGAGGAACACCAGUGGCGAAGGCGGCCUGCUGGACUGCAACUGACGUUGAGGCCCGAAAGCGUGGGGAGCAAACAGG
Molecule: ribosomal RNA, 253 nt
Filed under: uncultured bacterium
Lineage: Bacteria
Description: partial 16S ribosomal RNA
Rfam family: Bacterial small subunit ribosomal RNA
Source: RNAcentral